UCCUGUUUUUACAGGAAGGAUCAGUGGCAGAACAUCUGCUCUGCAUGCAGAAUGUCCCAGGUUCAAACCCUGUUGCAGGAA
Podarcis lilfordi (Lilford's wall lizard) is the source of this 81-nucleotide non-coding RNA. Lineage: Eukaryota; Metazoa; Chordata; Lepidosauria; Squamata; Lacertidae. The record is from the annotation of a GenBank genome assembly.